This is a long non-coding RNA of Saccostrea echinata, 852 nucleotides long. RefSeq lists it as uncharacterized. The record is from RefSeq and is a predicted model, not a curated record. The transcript has 4 exons. Lineage: Eukaryota; Metazoa; Mollusca; Bivalvia; Ostreida; Ostreidae.
ACUUGUUACUGAUUUACUCUUGUCUGCCAUAGGCUUAGUUUUCUGUGUCCUUGCCAUGGCAACACCUGGAUUCUUCAUUAAUAAGUACAUUAUGAUGAGAGCAUCUUUUACACCAGAUUGUGUGGAAUUGAUUCAUGUUCAACAUGGUCUUACGUAGCUCUUGAUGAAGAAAACAAAGGGACAUCUCAGCUUUCAAUGAUAGAUGCACAACUAGAGAGCCUUCUUGCUUUAGUUCUUGGUGGAGUCGGUUGGUUGAUUCUUUUUUCGAAUGUCAAGAAAGAAGUAUCAUUUCCACCUAAGAUCUUGCUUGGUGGAAUUUUCCUUCUUAUCUCAGGUACAUCUGAGUUUGUCGUCCUAUUACGAUUUUUCGCUAUAAACGCCUCACAUAAAGCAUUAGAAGAGGGAAAAAAUCCCAUCAAGGUUCCAUACUCCCUUAUUUUUGCUGGCGUUGGUAUUGUAUUCAUUCUAUCUGCUGUGAAGAGAAUUUUCAGUAGCUAUAUAAGAACUACGGAGAUUCAUCAACGGAUGACGGCUGAACCAGGGAGAGAUAUUACAGAAAGCAUGAUCUAAAGCUUAAUGAUUGAUUCAAAUACACUUCUUUAAUAUGUUCUUUAAGAUGUUACUUCUUUAAUAUGUUCUUUAAGAUGUUUUUAAAAGCUUAAACUUACAUUUGAUGUUACUAAUCAUAUCAGUAUUAUUUACAAGAAUCGGUUAAUAUAUCCCGUAAAAAAUCAUGUCAACUUUGAGAAGUCUUCUGGGUAACGCAACCAAUAAUAACCAUUUCAGCCCAUUUCUUUCAUCUAGCCAUGGAAUUAUUCUAAAUCUUGUCAUUGUUUUCUAUUUUACCUAAUA